UACGUAGGAGGCAAGCGUUGUCCGGAAUUACUGGGCGUAAAGGGCGCGUAGGCGGCCACGCACGUCCGUUGUGAAAUCGCUCGGCUCAACUGGGCGGGGUCAGCGGAUACGGCGUGGCUGGAGCAAGCUAGGGGGCAAUGGAAUUCCCGGUGUAGUGGUGGAAUGCGUAGAUAUCGGGAGGAACACCAGUGGCGAAGGCGGUUGCCUGGAGCUUUGCUGACGCUGAUGCGCGAAAGCGUGGGGAGCGAUCCGG
This 253-nucleotide ribosomal RNA is filed under the name uncultured bacterium. Its description in RNAcentral is "partial 16S ribosomal RNA". It matches the Rfam family "Bacterial small subunit ribosomal RNA", at positions 524 to 776 of the family's 1533-position model. The record is from RNAcentral.